AAAACCGAUCAAUUCUAGUUAAGAAUUGGGAAUGACCUUAUAUCCAAGAUAUUUGGUUUAAAUUUAUUAGGUUGAUGAGCUUCCCAAUACGGCUCAAUGUGUGCUAGCGAGACAGUUGUCCCGAUCUCACAUUUCAGCUGUGUUGCAGAGUUCUAUGCACAACCUCUAAACUAACCUUAUCAU
RNAcentral lists this unclassified non-coding RNA (183 nucleotides) under uncultured Rozellomycota. RNAcentral's name for it is "uncultured Cryptomycota sequence contains ITS2". The record is from RNAcentral. Lineage: Eukaryota; Fungi; Rozellomycota.